This 3237-nucleotide long non-coding RNA is filed under the name Nicotiana tabacum (common tobacco). RNAcentral describes it as "long non-coding RNA (NTAB_LNC004020)". The record is from RNAcentral. Lineage: Eukaryota; Viridiplantae; Streptophyta; Magnoliopsida; Solanales; Solanaceae.
UUACAUCACUUUAUACAAUUGCAUUUGUAUUUUAUAUCAUUUACGUAUUAUUUGCAAUAAUAGCCUAUAUGCAACAAUAAUUAUAUUUAUCAUGCUAUUUAGGUGAAAAUGGUAUUUUUACAUUUUUACAAUUAUAAUAUACUAUUUUAAAAGUGUUUAUUUUGAAAAUAGAAUUUUUAUCAUUUUAUAGCCAUUUGUUUUUAAUUUAUUUUAAUUAGCUUUCAUGUGUUUUAAGCUUAUGGCCUAAUUAAGCCAAUUUUCGGACUAAACAAACCUGAAAAGAACAUGGCCCAACAACCUAAACCCAACACCCGCAACCCAAUGCCCUUUAACCCAUCUAUCACCCGUUAUACGCCUGCUUCGCCCUUAAAAUCUCAGCCGUUGAUCCAUUAAGAUCAACGGCCCACAACAACCCCCUCGUCUUCCUUAUAUUGCUUCAUUCAAACCCCAAUCUUUAUUCUCACCCCACAUCCGCCUCUUAAUCUUCUAUACUUCCUUCCCACUCUGUAAAACCCUAGCCGUCUCACACUCAAACUUUCUCUGAAUCCGACCUGACCAUGGAACCUUUUCAUGAUUUACUUGCCUUAUUCAUGUUAUCUCGUCAUUACCCACACGUUCAUGGCAUUAAUUAGUACUUGCCCAAUUUUGAAAAGUACUAUCUUUCAAAAUCGGGCAUAACCAACUUAAAUCUUUGGAAUUUAGAUGAUAUUUCAUCUAUAUACAUGUGAUGAGAAUUCACUCUUGUACUCAUAGGUCGAUUUACAAUCUUGGAGCCCUAACUAGGGUUUGAAAGUUGAUUUCAUUCCUUUGCGUGUUGUUUCACUGAUUGCAUGUGAUUUUUUUUUCCUUGUUUGUGUUUGAUUUGAUUUCUUUCCUUGUUUAUUCGCCUAAUAAUAUACUAUAUAAACCCCUUUCCAAUUCACCUUGAGAUAGACUUUAGUCAUCAUAUCUCUCACUCACAUUGGUUCUAUUUUGUUUUGAUUCUCUAAAUAAUACUGUUGUUUGAUUGUGUUCUUGGCCGGCUGAAAGACAAGGCCACUUUGGUAUCAUUCAAAGCUUCCUCCGAUACAAGCACUGCUCGAAGCCCUUUGAGGCUUCUGCGAACUCUGAAGCACGGGAGACCUUGGGGUUCUCACUGCUCUCCUUUACUCGCUGCUACUGAACUACUGCUGAAACUCUGAUUUCCUCAUUUUUUUCUCAUUUCUCUUUGCAACUGGUUAGUGCUAUUGAAUUCUACAGUUUACUUGUUACAUGAGUAUGUUUAGAUUAUACCUUCACUUGUUCGUAUUUAUGUGCAUCUGUAUGGCACUACUGUCUGAACUCUUAUUAAAAAUAGAAAAGCAUGACUUAGGUUUCUCUGAAAUUUGUGAGUCAAAUUUUGUAUUGUGUUAUAUACUUUGCUGCAAUUUCAUUGUCAAGGUAUUGAGGAUUCGUGUCUUUAAGUCUACUUGAGAUUUAAUACCUCAUAUGUCAUCUCUGUUACAUAUAAUUAUACUUUCCUAUAUGUAUAUAAUGGAUUAGAAGAACUCCUCUAUUCUUUUGAGAAUUAAGUGAACACAUGCUGUUUGAUUUGCUAGUUUCUAUAAUUAUAAACCACGAAUAUAAGAUUGAUUUGCUUUAGACUUUCAUGAUAAACCUCCCCUGUAGGACUUCUAUGUUCUUAUGAUUAAGUCUAAACUAUGUGUAUACAUGACGUUUGCCUUACAGUUUCAUGACCUUUCCUGUAAGAAUUUAUGUUUGAUCUUGUGCCUGGAACUAAGUCUUGAGCAUUAUAGAGGACUUGUCUUUAAGGUAUUCUGGUAGAUGUUUGUUUCCUGGACAUAUGUGAUUAUGUGUUUCCUUUUUGUGUUGCAUUGAGGGCAUAUGCUCGUAAACUUUUCAUGUGAUUGGUAAAGUUGCUCUUAUCUUGACUAUGUGCUCAUUUGAUUCAAGAUCUAUUAAAUUUAUGUGACUACAUUUACUCUCUUAUUCAUGUUAGAAAUCAUGUCUAGGAUUAUGAUUAUUUACGAAGGCUUGGGAACUUAUCUUUGACAUGAUAAAUUGCUUAAAAUGACUGUAGUCACCUAAAGAUUUAAUUAGCACAUAUUCGUAUGAUUCUUUUUAUUAAGUCCUUAUGAAAUUUUUAUCUGUAAUCCUUGAGCAUAUGCAUACAUUUUGAAUAAGGAUAAUUGAUUUAGACUGAGAUUUUUGGCACGAAAGCUAAAGCAUGCGGGCGAGAUACAGUUAUGACACACAGGACAUGAUGAUCAAAUAUUGAUUUAUGUUGGAUGCUAUUAUACCCCUUUUUGCACUUGGAUUUUGAUCCAUCUCUCUGGAGUCAAGCGAUUAUCCAUGUUACUUUGCGCCCUUUAAGCGUGUGGUUGGUAAAUAAACUUUGUACUAGGUCAAUAUAUAGAUUUUGUAUCGGGUUAUUUUAAUACAUAAAUUUGUAUCAGAAUAUAUGGAUCUUGUAUCAUGGUACAUGGAUCUUGAACGAAUUUGAGCAUGCAUUCAUAUUAUUGAUACAUUUAGAAGCAUUCAUUUAAAUGCUAAUUGUUACAUGGCAUGUAUACGUGCUAGUUGGGAGCCUCAACUCUAUUGUUUGAAGCAUGCUACCUUUACUUGUCGUACUUGGGGCGUUAUGGUUAUCUACUGAAUUGGAAAAGCAUGUUUUAUGUCUUUGGCUAUUUUUUGUCGUGAUACCUGUUGAUCAUGAGGAUAUUUACUGUUCCAACUCCAGACUUGUUAUUUUUUCUGUGUUGUAAGUGUUCGGAUGCAUCUAGCCUCGCCACCACUUUUUUGAGAUUAGACUUGAUACUUACUGGGUACCGAUAAUGGUGUAUUCAUAUUAUGCUUUUGCAUAUUUUUGUGCAGGUCCUGAGGAUGGUAUUGCGGUACUCUUUGAUCUGAGUAGGAGUGUGUUGUUGAAGACUUCGUGGUGAGCUACAAUAAUAUUUCGAUCCACAACACAUGAAGUCCCCGUCCUUAUUUAUCUUCUAUCUGUUUUCUUUGUCACAAGCAAUUGUGAUUAUGUAUUCUGACAUGUACCAUUCAGCAGUUGCUCGUGUACUUGUGUCACUUAGUUCUUGGAGUUGUAUUGUUUCGGUCGUAGUUAGACUAUGUAAUACUUGUAUCAAUUUUUUUACCACCUUGACAUUAUUCCUGCUUUUAUUAUGAUAUAACUAUGUUAAAUAAAGAAAAUUAGACUAUAUUCUGUUAAUUGUGAGUUUGCUUGCUUAGCAAGUACAACUAGGCGCC